UGCGAUUUUACUUCAGAGAAUCACUUCUAAAGGAAAAAUCCCAUCUCUGUGUUCCCUACAGGAGCCACAGAUCCCACCCUGGUUGAUGAGUCGAAAUCCCCGCUGCCUCAGAGUGAAGUUUUUACUCUGGAAGCCAGUUGCUUCGUGCGCUGCGCCUUCCAUACUCUCGCCCUGUCCGCAAGGAUGGCGGUCACGUUCCUCUCUCGGGAGGGAAUGGCUGUAUAGAGAGUGGUUGAUGAUCUCAACCCCAGUCGCUGCGUUGCCCUUGUGGUGCGUGGCCUGGGGUGGGCUUUGUGGGACGUCUGACAGGC
This 311-nucleotide small nucleolar RNA is filed under the name Microdochium bolleyi. RNAcentral describes it as "Fungal small nucleolar RNA U3". It matches the Rfam family "Fungal small nucleolar RNA U3". Rfam says of the family: Small nucleolar RNAs (snoRNAs) are involved in the processing and modification of rRNA in the nucleolus. There are two main classes of snoRNAs: the box C/D class, and the box H/ACA class. Lineage: Eukaryota; Fungi; Ascomycota; Sordariomycetes; Xylariales; Microdochiaceae. The record is from Rfam by way of RNAcentral.